GAUCUGGCUCAGGAUGAACGCUAGCGACAGGCCUAACACAUGCAAGUCGAGGGGCAUCAGGUAUCAGCUUGCUGAUACGCUGGCGACCGGCGCACGGGUGAGUAACGCGUAUGCAAUCUGCCUGUAACAGGGGGAUAACCCGGAGAAAUCCGGCCUAAUACCCCAUAAGGAUGUCUGUCCGCAUGGGCGGUCAUCUAAAGGUUUUCCGGUUACAGAUGGGCAUGCGUUCCAUUAG
This 235-nucleotide ribosomal RNA is filed under the name uncultured bacterium. RNAcentral's name for it is "partial 16S ribosomal RNA". It matches the Rfam family "Bacterial small subunit ribosomal RNA", at positions 15 to 244 of the family's 1533-position model. The record is from RNAcentral.